RNAcentral lists this ribosomal RNA (673 nucleotides) under uncultured Vibrionaceae bacterium. RNAcentral describes it as "bacterial SSU rRNA". It matches the Rfam family "Bacterial small subunit ribosomal RNA", at positions 1 to 671 of the family's 1533-position model. Lineage: Bacteria; Pseudomonadati; Pseudomonadota; Gammaproteobacteria; Vibrionales; Vibrionaceae. The record is from RNAcentral.
UAGAGUUUGAUCAUGGCUCAGAUUGAACGCUGGCGGCAGGCCUAACACAUGCAAGUCGAGCGGAAACGAGAAUAGCUUGCUAUUCGGCGUCGAGCGGCGGACGGGUGAGUAAUGCCUGGGAAAUUGCCCUGAUGUGGGGGAUAACCAUUGGAAACGAUGGCUAAUACCGCAUGAUGUCUUCGGACCAAAGUAGGGGAUCUUCGGACCUUACGCCUUUAGAGGAGCCCAAGUGAGAUUAGCUAGUUGGUGAGGUAAUGGCUCACCAAGGCGACGAUCUUUAGCUGGUUUGAGAGGAUGAUCAGCCACACUGGGACUGAGACACGGCCCAGACUCCUACGGGAGGCAGCAGUGGGGAAUAUUGGACAAUGGGCGGAAGCCUGAUGCAGCCAUGCCGCGUGUAUGAAGAAGGCCUUCGGGUUGUAAAGUACUUUCAGUUGUGAGGAAGGGUGUGUAGUUAAUAGCUGCGCAUCUUGACGUUAGCAACAGAAGAAGCACCGGCUAACUCCGUGCCAGCAGCCGCGGUAAUACGGAGGGUGCGAGCGUUAAUCGGAAUUACUGGGCGUAAAGCGCAUGCAGGUGGUUCAUUAAGUCAGAUGUGAAAGCCCGGGGCUCAACCUCGGAACUGCAUUUGAAACUGGUGAACUAGAGUGCUGUAGAGGGGGGUAGAAUUUCA